GACAGAGGGUGCAAACGUUGUUCGGAAUUACUGGGCGUAAAGCGCGUGUAGGCUGCUUCAUAAGUCGGGUGUGAAAGCCCUGGGCUCAACCUAGGAAGUGCACUCGAAACUGCGAAGCUUGAGUCCUGGAGAGGAAGGCGGAAUUCUCGGUGUAGAGGUGAAAUUCGUAGAUAUCGAGAGGAACACCGGUGGCGAAGGCGGCCUUCUGGACAGUGACUGACGCUGAGACGCGAAAGCUAGGGGAGCGAACAGG
This 253-nucleotide ribosomal RNA is filed under the name uncultured bacterium. RNAcentral's name for it is "partial 16S ribosomal RNA". It matches the Rfam family "Bacterial small subunit ribosomal RNA", at positions 524 to 776 of the family's 1533-position model. The record is from RNAcentral.